UUGGAGGGCAAGUCUGGUGCCAGCAGCCGCGGUAAUUCCAGCUCCAAUAGCGUAUAUCAAAGUUGUUGCAGUUAAAAAGCUCGUAGUUGAACUUCGGGGUUUACCCAUUGGUCAGGCUUAAUUGUCUGCACUGGUGAGAUGAAUCUCUACCUUCUGAGGAACUUUCAUGCCAUUUAUUUGGUGUGAUGGGAAAUCAGGACUGUUACUUUGAAAAAAUUAGAGUGUUUAAAGCAGGCUAACGUCUGAAUACAUUAGCAUGGAAUAAUGAAAUAGGACGGACUGAUUCUAUUUCGUUGGUUUCUAGGAUCACCGUAAUGAUUAAUAGGGAUAGUUGGGGGCAUUAGUAUUCAAUUGUCAGAGGUGGAAUUCUUGGAUUUAUUGAAGACUAACUACUGCGAAAGCAUUUGCCAAGGAUGUUUUCAUUAAUCAAGAACGAAAGUUAGGGGAUCGAAGACGAUCAGAUACCGUCGUAGUCUUAACCAUAAACUAUGCCGACUAGGGAUCGGACGAAGUUAAUUUUAUAAUGACGCGUUCGGCGCCUUACGGGAAAC
RNAcentral lists this ribosomal RNA (551 nucleotides) under uncultured Glomeromycotina. RNAcentral describes it as "SSU rRNA". It matches the Rfam family "Eukaryotic small subunit ribosomal RNA", at positions 548 to 1098 of the family's 1831-position model. The record is from RNAcentral. Lineage: Eukaryota; Fungi; Glomeromycota.